UGCGGUGUGGUGCAGUUCGGCAGCACGCUGGGCUCAUACCCCAGAGGCCGCGGGUUCAAGUCCCGCCACCGCGA
RNAcentral lists this transfer RNA (74 nucleotides) under Nocardia higoensis. Its description in RNAcentral is "tRNA-Met". It matches the Rfam family "tRNA". From Rfam's summary of the family: Transfer RNA (tRNA) molecules are approximately 80 nucleotides in length. Their secondary structure includes four short double-helical elements and three loops (D, anti-codon, and T loops). Lineage: Bacteria; Bacillati; Actinomycetota; Actinomycetes; Mycobacteriales; Nocardiaceae. The record is from RNAcentral.